Molecule: ribosomal RNA, 433 nt
Filed under: uncultured bacterium
Lineage: Bacteria
Description: partial 16S ribosomal RNA
Rfam family: Bacterial small subunit ribosomal RNA
Source: RNAcentral
AACGAACGCUGGCGGCAUGCCUAACACAUGCAAGUCGAACGAGACCUUCGGGUCUAGUGGCGCACGGGUGCGUAACGCGUGGGAACCUGCCCUUAGGUUCGGAAUAACUCCCCGAAAGGGGUGCUAAUACCGGAUAAUGUCUUCGGACCAAAGAUUUAUCGCCUUUGGAUGGGCCCGCGUUGGAUUAGCUAGUUGGUAGGGUAAAAGCCUACAAAGGCGACGAUCCAUAGCUGGUCUGAGAGGAUGAUCAGCCACACUGGGACUGAGACACGGCCCAGACUCCUACGGGAGGCAGCAGUGGGGAAUAUUGGACAAUGGGCGAAAGCCUGAUCCAGCAAUGCCGCGUGAGUGAUGAAGGCCGUAGGGUCGUAAAGCUCUUUUACCCGGGAUGAUAAUGACAGUACCGGGAGAAUAAGCUCCGGCUAACUCCGUG